This 430-nucleotide ribosomal RNA is filed under the name Pseudomonadota bacterium. RNAcentral's name for it is "Proteobacteria bacterium partial 16S ribosomal RNA". It matches the Rfam family "Bacterial small subunit ribosomal RNA", at positions 355 to 776 of the family's 1533-position model. Lineage: Bacteria; Pseudomonadati; Pseudomonadota. The record is from RNAcentral.
UGGGGAAUAUUGGACAAUGGGGGGAACCCUGAUCCAGCCAUGCCGCGUGUGUGAAGAAGGCCUUAUGGUUGUAAAGCACUUUAAGCGAGGAGGAGGGUACUGGUAUUAAUACUACCAGCUACUGGACGUUACUCGCAGAAUAAGCACCGGCUAACUCUGUGCCAGCAGCCGCGGUAAUACAGAGGGUGCGAGCGUUAAUCGGAUUUACUGGGCGUAAAGCGUGCGUAGGCGGCUAAUUGAGUCGGAUGUGAAAUCCCCGAGCUUAACUUGGGAAUUGCAUUCGAUACUGGUCAGCUAGAGUAUGGGAGAGGAUGGUAGAAUUCCAGGUGUAGCGGUGAAAUGCGUAGAGAUCUGGAGGAAUACCGAUGGCGAAGGCAGCCAUCUGGCCUAAUACUGACGCUGAGGUACGAAAGCAUGGGGAGCAAACAGG